RNAcentral lists this ribosomal RNA (253 nucleotides) under uncultured bacterium. RNAcentral describes it as "partial 16S ribosomal RNA". It matches the Rfam family "Bacterial small subunit ribosomal RNA", at positions 524 to 776 of the family's 1533-position model. The record is from RNAcentral.
UACGAAGGGAGCUAGCGUUGUUCGGAAUCACUGGGCGUAAAGCGCACGUAGGCUGAUGUGUCAGUCAGAGGUGAAAUCCCGGAGCUCAACUUCGGAACUGCCUUUGAUACAGCACGUCUUGAGUCCGAUAGAGGUGGGUGGAAUUCCUAGUGUAGAGGUGAAAUUCGUAGAUAUUAGGAAGAACACCGGUGGCGAAGGCGGCCCACUGGAUCGGUACUGACGCUGAGGUGCGAAAGCGUGGGGAGCAAACAGG